GGGUUGUGAGGUUAAGCGACUAAGCGUACACGGUGGAUGCCCUGGCAGUCAGAGGCGAUGAAGGACGUGCUAAUCUGCGAAAAGCGCCGGCGAGGUGAUAUGAACCCUUGACCCGGCGAUGUCCGAAUGGGGAAACCCAGUGUGAUUCGUCACACUAUCGUUAACUGAAUACAUAGGUUAACGAGGCGAACCGGGGGAACUGAAACAUCUAAGUACCCCGAGGAAAAGAAAUCAACCGAGAUUCCCCCAGUAGCGGCGAGCGAACGGGGAGCAGCCCAGAGUCUGAAUCAGCUUGUGUGUUAGUGGAACGGUCUGGAAAGUCCGGCGAUACAGGGUGACAGUCCCGUACACGAAAAUGCACAGGUUGUGAACUCGAAGAGUAGGGCGGGACACGUGGUAUCCUGUCUGAAUAUGGGGGGACCAUCCUCCAAGGCUAAAUACUCCUGACUGACCGAUAGUGAACCAGUACCGUGAGGGAAAGGCGAAAAGAACCCCGGCGAGGGGAGUGAAAAAGAACCUGAAACCGUGUACGUACAAGCAGUGGGAGCACCUUCGGGUGUGACUGCGUACCUUUUGUAUAAUGGGUCAGCGACUUAUAUUCUGUAGCAAGGUUAACCGUAUAGGGGAGCCGAAGGGAAACCGAGUCUUAACUGGGCGUUAAGUUGCAGGGUAUAGACCCGAAACCCGGUGAUCUAGCCAUGGGCAGGUUGAAGGUUGGGUAACACUAACUGGAGGACCGAACCGACUAAUGUUGAAAAAUUAGCGGAUGACUUGUGGCUGGGGGUGAAAGGCCAAUCAAACCGGGAGAUAGCUGGUUCUCCCCGAAAGCUAUUUAGGUAGCGCCUCGUGAACUCAUCUUCGGGGGUAGAGCACUGUUUCGGCUAGGGGGCCAUCCCGGCUUACCAACCCGAUGCAAACUACGAAUACCGAAGAAUGUUAUCACGGGAGACACACGGCGGGUGCUAACGUCCGUCGUGAAGAGGGAAACAACCCAGACCGCCAGCUAAGGUCCCAAAGUCAUGGUUAAGUGGGAAACGAUGUGGGAAGGCCCAGACAGCCAGGAUGUUGGCUUAGAAGCAGCCAUCAUUUAAAGAAAGCGUAAUAGCUCACUGGUCGAGUCGGCCUGCGCGGAAGAUGUAACGGGGCUAAACCAUGCACCGAAGCUGCGGCAGCGACACUAUGUGUUGUUGGGUAGGGGAGCGUUCUGUAAGCCGUUGAAGGUGGCCUGUGAGGGUUGCUGGAGGUAUCAGAAGUGCGAAUGCUGACAUAAGUAACGAUAAAGCGGGUGAAAAGCCCGCUCGCCGGAAGACCAAGGGUUCCUGUCCAACGUUAAUCGGGGCAGGGUGAGUCGACCCCUAAGGCGAGGCCGAAAGGCGUAGUCGAUGGGAAACAGGUUAAUAUUCCUGUACUUGGUGUUACUGCGAAGGGGGGACGGAGAAGGCUAUGUUAGCCGGGCGACGGUUGUCCCGGUUUAAGCAUGUAGGCGGAGGUUCCAGGUAAAUCCGGUGCCUUUUUAACGCUGAGGUGUGAUGACGAGGCACUACGGUGCUGAAGUAACAAAUGCCCUGCUUCCAGGAAAAGCCUCUAAGCAUCAGGUAACACGAAAUCGUACCCCAAACCGACACAGGUGGUCAGGUAGAGAAUACCAAGGCGCUUGAGAGAACUCGGGUGAAGGAACUAGGCAAAAUGGUGCCGUAACUUCGGGAGAAGGCACGCUGAUAUGUAGGUGAAGCCCCUGCGGGUGGAGCUGAAAUCAGUCGAAGAUACCAGCUGGCUGCAACUGUUUAUUAAAAACACAGCACUGUGCAAACACGAAAGUGGACGUAUACGGUGUGACGCCUGCCCGGUGCCGGAAGGUUAAUUGAUGGGGUUAGCGGCAACGCGAAGCUCUUGAUCGAAGCCCCGGUAAACGGCGGCCGUAACUAUAACGGUCCUAAGGUAGCGAAAUUCCUUGUCGGGUAAGUUCCGACCUGCACGAAUGGCGUAAUGAUGGCCAGGCUGUCUCCACCCGAGACUCAGUGAAAUUGAACUCGCUGUGAAGAUGCAGUGUACCCGCGGCAAGACGGAAAGACCCCGUGAACCUUUACUAUAGCUUGACACUGAACACUGGUCCUUGAUGUGUAGGAUAGGUGGGAGGCUUUGAAGCGUGGACGCCAGUCUGCGUGGAGCCAACCUUGAAAUACCACCCUUUAAUGGCUGGUGUUCUAACGUAGACCCGUGAUCCGGGUUGCGGACAGUGUCUGGUGGGUAGUUUGACUGGGGCGGUCUCCUCCCAAAGAGUAACGGAGGAGCACGAAGGUUAGCUAAUCCUGGUCGGACAUCAGGAGGUUAGUGCAAUGGCAUAAGCUAGCUUGACUGCGAGAGUGACGGCUCGAGCAGGUGCGAAAGCAGGUCAUAGUGAUCCGGUGGUUCUGAAUGGAAGGGCCAUCGCUCAACGGAUAAAAGGUACUCCGGGGAUAACAGGCUGAUACCGCCCAAGAGUUCAUAUCGACGGCGGUGUUUGGCACCUCGAUGUCGGCUCAUCACAUCCUGGGGCUGAAGUAGGUCCCAAGGGUAUGGCUGUUCGCCAUUUAAAGUGGUACGCGAGCUGGGUUUAGAACGUCGUGAGACAGUUCGGUCCCUAUCUGCCGUGGGCGCUGGAGAAUUGAGGGGGGCUGCUCCUAGUACGAGAGGACCGGAGUGGACGCAUCACUGGUGUUCGGGUUGUCAUGCCAAUGGCACUGCCCGGUAGCUAAAUGCGGAAGAGAUAAGUGCUGAAAGCAUCUAAGCACGAAACUUGCCCCGAGAUGAGUUCUCCCUGAGACUUAAAGUCUCCUGAAGGAACGUUGAAGACGACGACGUUGAUAGGUCGGGUGUGUAAGCGCAGCGAUGCGUUGAGCUAACCGAUACUAAUGAACCGUGAGGCUUAACCUUACAACGCCGAAGGUGUUU
RNAcentral lists this ribosomal RNA (2931 nucleotides) under Enterobacter cloacae. RNAcentral describes it as "23S ribosomal RNA". It matches the Rfam family "Bacterial large subunit ribosomal RNA". Lineage: Bacteria; Pseudomonadati; Pseudomonadota; Gammaproteobacteria; Enterobacterales; Enterobacteriaceae. The record is from RNAcentral.